AGGAUAAUACCCCAUAGAUCUAGAGCGCUGGAAUGCCUUUAGGUCGAAAACUCCGGUGCCUUAGGAUUGGUCUGCGGUCUAUCAGGCAGUAGUGGGUGUAACGGACCCACUAGCCCGUGACGGAUAUGGGCCUUGAGAGAGGGUGCCCAGAGAUGGACUCUGAGACAUGAGUCCAGGCCCUACGGGGCGCAGCAGUCGCGAAAACUUCGCAAUGGGGGAAACCCCGACGAGGGAAUUCCAAGUGCUAGCACUUUGUGUUAGCUGUUCUUCUGUCUAAAAAACAGGAGAAGUAAGGGGCGGGUAAGACGGGUGCCAGCCGCCGCGGUAAUACCCGCGCCCCGAGUGGUGGUCGAUAUUAUUGGGCCUAAAGCGUUCGUAGCCGGUUUGAUAAGUCUCUGGUGAAAUCCCGCAGCUUAACUGUGGGACUUGCUGGAGAUACUAUUAGACUUGAGGUCGGGAGAGGUUAGGGGUACUCCCAGGGUAGGGGUGAAAUCCUAUAAUCCUGGGAGGACCACCUGUGGCGAAGGCGCCUAACUGGAACGAACCUGACGGUGAGUAACGAAAGCCAGGGGCGCGAACCGGAUUAGAUACCCGGGUAGUCCUGGCCGUAAACGAUGUGGACUUGGUGUUGGAAUGGCCUCGAGCUGCUCCAGUGCCGAAGGGAAGCUGUUAAGUCCACCGCCUGGGAAGUACGGCCGCAAGGCUGAAACUUAAAGGAAU
This 720-nucleotide ribosomal RNA is filed under the name uncultured archaeon. RNAcentral describes it as "bacterial SSU rRNA". It matches the Rfam family "Archaeal small subunit ribosomal RNA", at positions 143 to 865 of the family's 1478-position model. The record is from RNAcentral.